AGGAUAAAAAGGCUCUCACGUUUGCUGCAUGUAUAUGAUUCCUAUCGAAUACGUGUGUAAGGAACCUUCGGGUUUUUUUUGGACUACAACUCAGAAAAUUCAAACGUUUCUCAUAAACUUGACCCCGUUGGAGGACAACCCGCGGGCGUGGGCGACGAUCAGUAAAAAGAAAAAUGGUGGAAGUUCAUUUUACUUUUUUCAAGUCCACCGUAAACACUCGAGAAACGGGGAGUAGGCUGAAAGCCGAGAGGUCAAAGGGCGUCCGAUCGGGAGACGAAAUCGAUCGGCGAUAGGAAAAGCCGCUAAAAGCACCUCAAAGUCUUAAGAAAGAGGACGGACACGCCUCCUGCAUUUAUUAACCUUUCACUUACACUUACGUUGAGUGGCGGAACUUUUGUCAGCGAUUUUUUUCGACAAUCUGGAUCGGAAGAUCAGAAUUAAGGCCUAGUCACCGUCAUUUCUUACAAAAUCUUUUCCGUUCCUUCUUUCCUUCUUCCUUUGGAUUCCGACGAUCGAUGAAUUAUUUCUCGUUGAAACGAAAUAUUCGGACAAGGACCAAAGGACAUGACGGAUUUUCGAAUUCAGAAAAACAAAUGGAAAAAUACCGAAUGAUGCGGGAUUAAAAAAUGAAAAAGAUAGAAGCAGACGCAAAACGUGCCACUGAUGCUCUACUGCUAUAUGGUAGCAGGAAAUAUUCCGAGUCUCGAUGAAUAUGAUGAUGAUGAUGAUGAUGAUGUUGGCAAAUAUCUAAUUUAGAUUAGAUUAAACUUGGAAAGUUAAUUGCAUUGCACGCGUUUAGGAUUACGACGGAGGUUCUCCGCAUCAGGUUACAC
RNAcentral lists this unclassified non-coding RNA (833 nucleotides) under Athalia rosae (coleseed sawfly). Its description in RNAcentral is "misc RNA ENSAEAG00005011108.1". The record is from RNAcentral. Lineage: Eukaryota; Metazoa; Arthropoda; Insecta; Hymenoptera; Athaliidae.